Molecule: long non-coding RNA, 410 nt
Organism: Heterocephalus glaber (naked mole-rat)
Lineage: Eukaryota; Metazoa; Chordata; Mammalia; Rodentia; Bathyergidae
Source: Ensembl
AGAUGGGACAUUGAUGUCCAGAGAGAAGUGCAUAAUUUAUGCCAGGUCACAGAAACUGGCACAGUGGUCAGACUAUGAUCCCAGGGAGCCUGCUCACAGAGGAGUUCAGCCUGAGUCAUCUCUGCCGUCAAAUGCACCUCUCUGUCCCGGGCAGAUAAACUCAUCACUCUGGAAGGCAGGCAGGCAAGGAGGCCUGGGGGGCUGUGGAGGCGGGCAUGGGGAGGGAAUGAGUGCCCGAGUCUUGUCCCAUGCCUGGUCCCCAGUGGCUGGCAGGGUGGAGGUCUUGCCAGGAGGGCUUCCUUCCUCUCUUCCAUCUUCACAGGUGAGGGGCUCCCAUUCCCACUGGAAGAGUGGUGGGUAGGUGCAGAUGACAAAGGGUGAACUGUGUCUCCAGACAGGGAGACAGAGGC